Non-coding RNA from Caenorhabditis elegans, 145 nucleotides. The record is from Ensembl. Lineage: Eukaryota; Metazoa; Nematoda; Chromadorea; Rhabditida; Rhabditidae.
UCAUCCGGUGUCCGUGAAAACGAGUCUCUUGGCGGAAAAGGCGGCGUACUCUCACAACAGAUCGAGAAACAUGAAAUGAGAAGGAGUAGGAGAAAAUGGAGUAAAAGGAGAAAAAAACUAAUCCUUCUUUGUUAUUUCGCUUUUC